AGGGAUCUCCAAAGAAACUUUGAGGUAUCCCCAGACCAGAUUGUGGUGUGUUUUUGCAAGUACAGGGCCGGGUACAGUCCAUUGCCCCAAUCAGCUGUUGAUUGCAAUUGCUGGGUCAGUUCUGUUUCCAACCCUGACUUCCACUGGA
Long non-coding RNA from Ochotona curzoniae (black-lipped pika), 148 nucleotides. RefSeq lists it as uncharacterized. The transcript has 3 exons. The record is from RefSeq and is a predicted model, not a curated record. Lineage: Eukaryota; Metazoa; Chordata; Mammalia; Lagomorpha; Ochotonidae.